This 364-nucleotide ribosomal RNA is filed under the name uncultured bacterium. Its description in RNAcentral is "partial 16S ribosomal RNA". It matches the Rfam family "Bacterial small subunit ribosomal RNA", at positions 338 to 699 of the family's 1533-position model. The record is from RNAcentral.
CCUACGGGUGGCAGCAGUGGGGAAUAUUGGUCAAUGGACGCAAGUCUGAACCAGCCAUGCCGCGUGCAGGAAGACGGCUCUAUGAGUUGUAAACUGCUUUUGUACGAGUGUAAACGCCGAUACGCGUAUCUGUCUGAUAGUAUCGUACGAAUAAGGCUCUGCUAACUCCGUACCAGCCGCCGCGGUACGACGGAGGAGUCAAGCGUUAGCCGGAUUUAUGGGGUGUAAGGGGUGCGUAGGCGGUCGGACAAGUUAGAGGUGAAAUCCCGAGGCUCAACGCCGGAAGUGCCUCUGAGACUGUCCGGCUAGAGAGUAGGUGCGGUAGGAGGAAUGGAUGGUGUAGCGGUGAAAUGCAUAGAGAUCA